AUUGAACGCUGGCGGCAUGCCUUACACAUGCAAGUCGAACGGUAACAGGUCUUCGGAUGCUGACGAGUGGCGAACGGGUGAGUAAUACAUCGGAACGUGCCUAGUAGUGGGGGAUAACUACUCGAAAGAAUGGCUAAUACCGCAUGAGAUCUACGGAUGAAAGCAGGGGAUCGCAAGACCUUGUGCUACUAGAGCGGCCGAUGGCAGAUUAGGUAGUUGGUGGGAUAAAAGCUUACCAAGCCGACGAUCUGUAGCUGGUCUGAGAGGACGAUCAGCCACACUGGGGCUGAGACACGGCCCAGACUCCUACGGGCGGCAGCAGUGGGGAAUUUUGGACAAUGGGCGCAAGCCUGAUCCAGCAAUGCCGCGUGCAGGAUGAAGGCCUUCGGGUUGUAAACUGCUUUUGUACGGAACGAAAAGCCCUGGGUUAAUACCCUGGGGUCAUGACGGUACCGUAAGAAUAAGCACCGGCUAACUACGUGCCAGCCGCCGCGGUAA
Molecule: ribosomal RNA, 498 nt
Filed under: uncultured bacterium
Lineage: Bacteria
Description: partial 16S ribosomal RNA
Rfam family: Bacterial small subunit ribosomal RNA
Source: RNAcentral